AUGAGAAAACUGAGGUCACCCCCCCCCCAGUACUUUGGCAACUUGACUAAGAUGACAAAAUUGCAGCAGAUGUUGUGACCCUGGGUAAUGUCUUUGGGCCUCAGUUUCUCCAUUGGUGAAGAAGCUGAGGCCAGUGGAAGCGAAGUGCCUUGUCCAGGCCAGCACAACCAGGAGCUGAUAGAGUCCGAUUGGAACUGAAGCCUGGGUAACUUUAAAGUUCAAAUCUUUUGAACUUAAAUCACUUCUCUCACCUCCACAAGAGCACUGCUCGCUUGCUGCUACCGAGGCUGAGCUGUGAGUAGGGAUUAGGAAUGUGGAAAGGGAUUAGGGAUUGAUGCAGGAGAUCUGGCUUGGCUGUGUAUGAGGAAGGCUGAGAGAGCUGGCGGGUGACUGUGGACCUUUCCUCUUCAGGCUGCAGAAGUAGCUUCCAAACUCUUGGUCUCCUCACCCUUUGGAUGGCCGAUGUAGGCUUAGAGACAGCUGCGGGUGACUCUUAGGAUUCUAUCUUGAUAGACCACCCGUCUAAGUUUGUCACAGGAUGUCAGGAGCCACGUGCCAAGUUACUGGACACAUGGUCUUGUGCCCUAGCAGGA
Octodon degus (degu) is the source of this 593-nucleotide long non-coding RNA. RefSeq lists it as uncharacterized. Lineage: Eukaryota; Metazoa; Chordata; Mammalia; Rodentia; Octodontidae. The transcript is spliced from 3 exons. The record is from RefSeq and is a predicted model, not a curated record.